This 253-nucleotide ribosomal RNA is filed under the name uncultured bacterium. Its description in RNAcentral is "partial 16S ribosomal RNA". It matches the Rfam family "Bacterial small subunit ribosomal RNA", at positions 524 to 776 of the family's 1533-position model. The record is from RNAcentral.
UACGUAGGGUGCGAGCGUUAAUCGGAAUUACUGGGCGUAAAGCGUGCGCAGGCGGUUCACUGUGUCCGAUGUGAAAGCCCCGGGAUUAACCUGGGAAUGGCAUUGGAAACUGGCGGGCUUGAGUGUGGCAGAGGGGGGUGGAAUUCCGCGUGUAGCAGUGAAAUGCGUAGAGAUGCGGAGGAACACCGAUGGCGAAGGCAGCCCCCUGGGCUAACACUGACGCUCAGGCACGAAAGCGUGGGGAGCAAACAGG